RNAcentral lists this long non-coding RNA (213 nucleotides) under Vitis vinifera (wine grape). RNAcentral describes it as "long non-coding RNA (VVIN_LNC008249)". Lineage: Eukaryota; Viridiplantae; Streptophyta; Magnoliopsida; Vitales; Vitaceae. The record is from RNAcentral.
CAGGGGCUCCGUAAGGUAACGACCAUGUCCACAUCUCAGUGAGCAUCCAGUAAGUGAUAAUGAUCGUGCAGAUCUGUGAGGAUCCAUAAACCUCCAAAUGAAAUGGGAUAUGCCCCAGUGUGGCACCAGAGGUAUGAUAGGUCAAAAAUCAGGUGACACCAAAUCAAUCAUCAUCAAACUCACGAUCCUGGUAAUCCGAACACAACUGAAUCA